Long non-coding RNA from Mus caroli (Ryukyu mouse), 503 nucleotides. RefSeq lists it as uncharacterized. The record is from RefSeq and is a predicted model, not a curated record. NCBI's taxonomy places the organism in Eukaryota, Metazoa, Chordata, Mammalia, Rodentia, Muridae.
CUCACACACAGAGGUGAAUUCCUUGUAGCCUACCAGAAGACACCAAAGUACAAGAGAGGCUCACAUCCAUUUACGUCUUUGAGACAGUCCAGGCCCACCUGCUCAGGUUUGGCACAGCUCACAGUGACUGGGUCCUCCUAUGCCAACCGUCACCCAAGAAAAUGAGCCAUUGACAUACUGAAAGGACAUGUGACGGUAUCAGCUCUUCAACUAAGAGUCCAUAGCUCCAGCUGUUUGUAAAUACUUCAGUGGAGAAAUACAAAGAGAAGAUGUGAAUGCCGGGAGAAGACUAUAACAUUAAAGCAGAAAUUGAUUUAAAAAUCCAACUUAGCAGAGGCAAUUACAAAUUCAAAGACGGAGCCCAAAUCAGAUCGGGCAGAGAAAAUGUGUUUGCUGCAAGGAAGGAAGUGAGCUUAUAUAACACCAAUUUCAAGUUGAUUUUGGACACAAACUUACCAAAUUUGACAACUGUCCUUGCAAAGCAAGAACAUUUUUACUUUGAG